Molecule: ribosomal RNA, 229 nt
Filed under: uncultured bacterium
Lineage: Bacteria
Description: partial 16S ribosomal RNA
Rfam family: Bacterial small subunit ribosomal RNA
Source: RNAcentral
UGCGUAGGCGGAAUAUUAAGUCAGUGGUGAAAUCCUGCGGCUCAACCGUAGAACUGCCAUUGAUACUGAUAUUCUUGAAUGUAGUUGAGGUAGGCGGAAUGUGUAAUGUAGCGGUGAAAUGCUUAGAUAUUACACAGAACACCGAUUGCGAAGGCAGCUUACUAAACUAUGAUUGACGCUGAUGCACGAAAGCGUGGGGAGCGAACAGGAUUAGAUACCCUGGUAGUCC